GACGAACGCUGGCGGCGUGCUUAACACAUGCAAGUCGUGCGGUAAGGCCCUUUCGGGGGUACACGAGCGGCGAACGGGUGAGUAACACGUGCGCAACCUGCCCUUCACUUUGGGAUAACUGCCGGAAACGGCGGCUAAUACCGGAUAUGACUUCCUCACGCAUGUGGGGUGGUGGAAAGCCUUCGGGUGGUGGGGGAUGGGCUCGCGGUCUAUCAGCUUGUUGGUGGGGUGAUGGCCUACCAAGGCUUCGACGGGUAGCCGGCCUGAGAGGGUGACCGGCCACACUGGGACUGAGACACGGCCCAGAAUCCUACGGGAGGCAGCAGUGGGGAAUAUGGGACAAUGGGCGAAAGCCUGAUCCAGAAACGCCGCGUGAGGGAUGACGGCCUUCGGGUUGUAAACCUCUUUCGCCUGCGACGAAGCGAGAGUGACGGUAGCAGGUAAAGAAGCACCGGCCAACUACGUG
Molecule: ribosomal RNA, 466 nt
Filed under: uncultured bacterium
Lineage: Bacteria
Description: partial 16S ribosomal RNA
Rfam family: Bacterial small subunit ribosomal RNA
Source: RNAcentral